ACACCGCCCGUCACACCAUGGGAGUCAGUAACGCCCGAAGUCAGUGACCUAACUGCAAAGAAGGAGCUGCCGAAGGCGGGACCGAUGACUGGGGUGAAGUCGUAACAAGGUAGCCGUAUCGGAAGGUGCGGCUGGAUCACCUCCUUUCUAAGGAA
Molecule: ribosomal RNA, 155 nt
Filed under: Ruminococcus sp. AM29-26
Lineage: Bacteria; Bacillati; Bacillota; Clostridia; Eubacteriales; Oscillospiraceae
Description: partial 16S ribosomal RNA
Rfam family: Bacterial small subunit ribosomal RNA
Source: RNAcentral